GGAGUACAAACUGGCACAGUUAGGAGCCUGAAGUUUGAGAAUGUCAGGUGACAUUAUCUUGUCUAAACAAAAUGUCAAAUGCUCUCGCUGCCCAGUCUGUUGGAUCCCUUGGGACAACUGCUGGUGCUCUGGACCCUCACGUCUGAACGAAGAACCCUGAUGGGCAGAGAGGAGAAAACGUCUGAAGGAAUGCCUAACUUAUGGAAGGAGAUCUGUCCAGCCUGUCGGUGUACGUGGUGAACCUGCUUCCUCUGGGUGGAAUGUGACCAUCAGCACAUGACUCAGAGCUGCCACGAUCCUCCCUGGAGCGAUGGAGAGCCUACAAGCUUCAUGGGGCUUCUGGGGGGGUGCAGGAGCCUUCAUGGCUAUCCUCUCUGAGGUCGCUCCCUCCUGAAAGGUUACAUAAGGAGUACGCAAUGAAAUACGGUUGGGAAAGCGCUUGCAAGUUGCCCAGGGUGCUCUUGAGUUUCACAUUUUCCAGGCAUUGUAAUUCCCAUGUGGUGGGAAGGACCCCUCGGGGAGUAAAUAACUCCAAUGGACUUAUUGACAGAAUUGGAACAAUAAAGUUGGACAGAAUCUAUUCCGCAAGAACUGGGAUGAGAGGAUGUUUCUUUACAUCUCCCCAGAAAGUCACACAACAGUGGCAAUUCUUCCAUUAUUCAUACAGUAACUUCCAGAAUAAAUAUUGCAUCCUAGAUUAAUAAAGACAUUCUCAUAAACACU
Molecule: long non-coding RNA, 723 nt
Filed under: Mus caroli (Ryukyu mouse)
Lineage: Eukaryota; Metazoa; Chordata; Mammalia; Rodentia; Muridae
Description: predicted gene 13944 (MGP_CAROLIEiJ_G0003215.1)
Source: RNAcentral